This 710-nucleotide long non-coding RNA is filed under the name Limulus polyphemus (Atlantic horseshoe crab). RNAcentral's name for it is "uncharacterized LOC111086414, transcript variant X2". Lineage: Eukaryota; Metazoa; Arthropoda; Merostomata; Xiphosura; Limulidae. The record is from RNAcentral.
UAGGUUUAGGUUUGAGAAACUACAGUAAAUAAUGUAGUGUGAGAAAAAGUCGAUUGAGUAAUAUACCUUCUUAUUUGUUGGAAUUCUCGUUAAGCAAGUUUUUAUAAAAACUUCUUACAUGUAUAUAUAUAUAUAAGUAAAAAAUACAACAUUAAUAUCAAUACACUAAGUAAUGGAGCAAACUUUAGGAUGACAGAACGUUUUACUUGAAGAACAUGAUACAAUAUAUAUGUUUUUCACUUACCAAGAAAAGGAAAGAAAGGGGAAAAAAGGGCGCAUGACAUCCCUGUCUUCAUGUAGCUGGAUACAAAAACAAUUUCUGCCUGUAGCAAGACAAGUACUUCGACGUAAGACUGCUCGCUACUUGAAUAAUGAAGCGGGCGGAGUAGGUGUCAUAUAUGGUGUCGAAAUGGUAAAAAAAUAAACAGAACUGAGCAGAAAACAACCGACAGCAGUAUUUCAAGUACCACUGGAGGAAAAUUCAGAAGUUGAAGAAGAUAGGGUACGUUCCUGGUCCAAAUCUUGCCUAAUAGAUGAAUUAGAAGUGUUACGGUAGAAUCUGAGAGAAGUAAAAAGAUAAUAGGAAGAAAUCGGACGAGCUAAAUAGAAAAUUAUAAUAAGGGUGUUUUUUUUCAAGAAAUACAAACAACAUUUAAAGGGGCCAUUAAUGUAAAUCGUGCUCAGCUGAAGCCAAUAAAGCUGCUAGGAGA